AGAGAUAUAGCUCAAUGGUAGAGCACUUGCCUAGAAUGCAUGAGAUCCUGAGUUCAAUCCCUGGCACUG
This 69-nucleotide transfer RNA is filed under the name Ictidomys tridecemlineatus (thirteen-lined ground squirrel). Its description in RNAcentral is "Spermophilus tridecemlineatus (thirteen-lined ground squirrel) tRNA". It matches the Rfam family "tRNA". From Rfam's summary of the family: Transfer RNA (tRNA) molecules are approximately 80 nucleotides in length. Their secondary structure includes four short double-helical elements and three loops (D, anti-codon, and T loops). Lineage: Eukaryota; Metazoa; Chordata; Mammalia; Rodentia; Sciuridae. The record is from Rfam by way of RNAcentral.